ACGAGCUUUUUAACUGCAACAACUUUAAUAUACGCUAUUGGAGCUGGAAUUACCGCGGCUGCUGGCACCAGACUUGCCCUCCAAUUGUUACUCUGAAAGGGGUUUGGAUUCCUAUCAUUCCAAUCACUAGAAAUGAAAUUUCCAGUGUUGUUAUUUCUUGUCACUACCUCCCUGAAUCAGGAUUGGGUAAUUUGCGCGCCUGCUGCCUUCCUUAGAUGUGGUAGCCGUUUCUCAGGCUCCCUCUCCGGAAUCGAACCCUAAUUCCCCGUUACCCGUCACUGCCACGGUAGUCCAAUACAGUACCGUCGAAAGCUGAUAGGUCAGAAACUUGAAUGAUCCGUCGCAGACCGAAGUCAACGCGAUCCGUUCGGUUACUAUGAAUCACCUGAGGACCACCGGAAGGGGUGGGUUGGUUCUGUAUCUAAUAAACACUGCCCUUCCAGGGGAAGAGGCAUGUGCGCAUGUAUUAGCCAUAGAAUUACCACGGUUAUCCAUGUAGUAAAGACCAUCAAAUAAACUAUAACUGUUUUAAUGAGCCAUUCGCAGUUUAGCCGUAUAAAAGCUUAUACUUAGACAUGCAUGGCUUAAUCUUUAAGACAAGCAUAUGA
This 608-nucleotide ribosomal RNA is filed under the name Toxoplasma gondii ME49. RNAcentral's name for it is "Toxoplasma gondii rRNA TGME49_459130". The record is from RNAcentral. Lineage: Eukaryota; Apicomplexa; Conoidasida; Eucoccidiorida; Sarcocystidae.